UACGUAGGUGGCAAGCGUGUCCGGAUUUAUUGGGUUUAAAGGGUGCGUAGGCGGCCUUGUAAGUCAGUGGUGAAAUACUCCAGCUUAACUGGAGGGGUGCCAAUGAUACUGCAGGGCUUGAGUACAGAUGAGGUAGGCGGAAUUGACGGUGUAGCGGUGAAAUGCAUAGAUAUCGUCAAGAACACCGAUAGCGAAGGCAGCUUACUGGGCUGUAACUGACGCUGAGGCACGAAAAGUGUGGGGGAUCAAA
RNAcentral lists this ribosomal RNA (250 nucleotides) under uncultured bacterium. RNAcentral's name for it is "partial 16S ribosomal RNA". It matches the Rfam family "Bacterial small subunit ribosomal RNA", at positions 524 to 772 of the family's 1533-position model. The record is from RNAcentral.